GGGUUGUGAGGUUAAGCGACUAAGCGUACACGGUGGAUGCCCUGGCAGUCAGAGGCGAUGAAGGACGUGCUAAUCUGCGAUAAGCGCCGGUAAGGUGAUAUGAACCGUUAUAACCGGCGAUUUCCGAAUGGGGAAACCCAGUGUGAUUCGUCACACUAUCAUUAACUGAAUCCAUAGGUUAAUGAGGCGAACCGGGGGAACUGAAACAUCUAAG
Molecule: ribosomal RNA, 214 nt
Filed under: Salmonella enterica subsp. enterica serovar Derby
Lineage: Bacteria; Pseudomonadati; Pseudomonadota; Gammaproteobacteria; Enterobacterales; Enterobacteriaceae
Also listed under: 4 other names
Description: partial 23S ribosomal RNA
Rfam family: Bacterial large subunit ribosomal RNA
Source: RNAcentral